GACGAACGCUGGCGGCGUGCUUAACACAUGCAAGUCGAACGAAGAGCGAUGGAAGCUUGCUUCUAUCAAUCUUAGUGGCGCACGGGUGAGUAACGCGUAAUCAACCUGCCCUUCAGAGGGGGACAACAGUUGGAAACGGCUGCUAAUACCGCAUACGAUCUAAUCUCGGCAUCGAGGAUAGAUGAAAGGUGGCCUCUACAUGUAAGCUAUCACUGAAGGAGGGGAUUGCGUCUGAUUAGCUAGUUGGAGGGGUAACGGCCCACCAAGGCGAUGAUCAGUAGCCGGUCUGAGAGGAUGAACGGCCACCUUGGGACUGAGACACGGCCCAGACUCCUACGGGAGGCAGCAGUGGGGAAUCUUCCGCAAUGGACGAAAGUCUGACGGAGCAACGCCGCGUGAGUGAUGACGGCCUUCGGGUUGUAAAGCUCUGUUAAUCGGGACGAAAGGCCUUCUUGCGAACAGUUAGAAGGAUUGACGGUACCGGAAUAGAAAGCCACGGCUAACUACGUG
This 510-nucleotide ribosomal RNA is filed under the name uncultured bacterium. RNAcentral's name for it is "partial 16S ribosomal RNA". It matches the Rfam family "Bacterial small subunit ribosomal RNA", at positions 28 to 507 of the family's 1533-position model. The record is from RNAcentral.